UACGUAGGGACCAAGCGUUGUUCGGAUUUACUGGGCGUAAAGGGCGCGUAGGCGGCAAUUCAAGUCAUCUGUGAAAUCUCCGGGCUUAACUCGGAACGGUCAGAUGAUACUGCUUUGCUCGAGUGCGGAAGGGGCAAUCGGAAUUCUUGGUGUAGCGGUGAAAUGCGUAGAUAUCAAGAGGAACACCUGAGGUGAAGACGGGUUGCUGGGCCGACACUGACGCUGAAGCGCGAAAGCCAGGGGAACAAACGGG
RNAcentral lists this ribosomal RNA (253 nucleotides) under uncultured bacterium. RNAcentral's name for it is "partial 16S ribosomal RNA". It matches the Rfam family "Bacterial small subunit ribosomal RNA", at positions 524 to 776 of the family's 1533-position model. The record is from RNAcentral.